GAAGUUCUAGUUUAUUAUAGAAUAAAGAAUUGUAAAUUCUUAGGAUUAAGCUUUG
This 55-nucleotide transfer RNA is filed under the name Cercopithifilaria johnstoni. The record is from RNAcentral. Lineage: Eukaryota; Metazoa; Nematoda; Chromadorea; Rhabditida; Onchocercidae.